RNAcentral lists this ribosomal RNA (447 nucleotides) under uncultured soil bacterium. RNAcentral describes it as "bacterial SSU rRNA". It matches the Rfam family "Bacterial small subunit ribosomal RNA", at positions 26 to 469 of the family's 1533-position model. The record is from RNAcentral.
AGAGUGAACGCUGGCGGUAGGCCUAACACAUGCAAGUCGAACGGCAGCACAGUGGUAGCAAUACCAUGGGUGGCGAGUGGCGGACGGGUGAGGAAUACAUCGGAAUCUACCUUUUCGUGGGGGAUAACGUAGGGAAACUUACGCUAAUACCGCAUACGCCCUUCGGGGGAAAGCCGGGGAUCGCAAGACCUGGCGCGGAUAGAUGAGCCGAUGUCGGAUUAGCUAGUUGGUGAGGUAAUGGCUCACCAAGGCGACGAUCCGUAGCUGGUCUGAGAGGAUGAUCAGUCACACUGGAACUGAGACACGGUCCAGACUCCUACGGGAGGCAGCAGUGGGAAUAUUGGACAAUGGGCGAAAGCCUGAUCCAGCCAUGCCGCGUGUGUGAAGAAGGUCGUUCGGAUUGUAAAGCACUUUAAGGUUAGGUAGGAAGGCGAGGUUACUAAGUAC